UUGAAAAAAGCAUUUACUCUAGUUUCACACAUUAGUAAAAAUAACAUUUUACUAAUGCGAUAUGAUUGAUUCAUUUAUCGUCAAUGUACCAGACAUUUAAAGAGCUUUAAAAAUGCUGUACAGUUUGAAACUGCAGCAACAAUUUUUUAUUCAACUUUAGAGUUUAAUGUUUACAUAAACACCAACAGUGCUGCAAAUGAUAGUAAAGUUUAUUCUUAUAAAUUUGUAGUUACACAGUUUAUUUAAUUAUCUAGACUGCAGGCAAUAAUAGACACAUACAAUAACACACGAAGAUUUAAGACAACAGCGUAAAGUGAACGACGCUAUACGAUGGGUCGGAUAUAAAAAAGGAAUGGAAAACGAUGCAGACAGAAUGAAUAAAUUACAAAUAUUUGAAUUACAUAUAUUAAAUGCUGUGACUAUUAAAA
Long non-coding RNA from Dendroctonus ponderosae (mountain pine beetle), 428 nucleotides. RefSeq lists it as uncharacterized. The record is from RefSeq and is a predicted model, not a curated record. The transcript has 2 exons. NCBI's taxonomy places the organism in Eukaryota, Metazoa, Arthropoda, Insecta, Coleoptera, Curculionidae.